Mus musculus (house mouse) is the source of this 547-nucleotide long non-coding RNA. RefSeq lists it as uncharacterized. The transcript has 3 exons. The record is from RefSeq and is a predicted model, not a curated record. Lineage: Eukaryota; Metazoa; Chordata; Mammalia; Rodentia; Muridae.
AGGGGCCACAGCAGUUUGUAAGCAGCCUCCAGCAUCAGCAGAGUCAGGAAGAGGACCAAGAAGGCGAGGAAGAUCUUGUCCAAAGCCUGCCGCACGGGCCCCCGAGGAGGAAUGGGACCCUGGGCAAAUGCUAGGAACACGUCCCCCUCCUCCACGCCGCCCUCUUCCUCUUCCGCCAUUUUCAAGCAGUCAGACAGCUGGCUAGCUCAGCGAGGGGAUGGAAGCCGGCUCAGCAUCGCUGGGAUUAAAGGGUAAAAAACCAGACUGUGAAAAUGUUACUGCGACUAGCAUGGGAGAAGCUGAACCAAGUCUCCUGAUAAAUCCUGAAGACAUUGUCCCCAAAGAACCAGGAAGUCCAGAAGAGACUAUCCGGACAAUCCAGACACCAGGUGACAGAGUUUCUCACCGGAAUAACAACGUCUUCUGAGAUCAACGCUGUGGUUGGAGCUGUCCCCUCGAUGUGUUCCCACCUACGGUGUUCCAACCAUCCCAUCUGACAUCUCUGCUCCCGGAUUCGUCGAGUCAGUGACGUGAAUAACUACGGUGA